RNAcentral lists this ribosomal RNA (449 nucleotides) under uncultured bacterium. Its description in RNAcentral is "bacterial SSU rRNA". It matches the Rfam family "Bacterial small subunit ribosomal RNA", at positions 330 to 793 of the family's 1533-position model. The record is from RNAcentral.
GCCAGACUCCUACGGGAGGCAGCAGUGGGGAAUAUUGGGCAAUGGGCGCAAGCCUGACCCAGCAACGCCGCGUGAAGGAAGAAGGCUUUCGGGUUGUAAACUUCUUUUCUCAGGGACGAAGCAAGUGACGGUACCUGAGGAAUAAGCCACGGCUAACUAUGUGCCAGCAGCCGCGGUAAUACAUAGGGGGCAAGCGUUAUCCGGAAUUAUUGGGUGUAAAGGGUGCGUAGACGGAAGAACAAGUUGGUUGUGAAAUCCCUCGGCUCAACUGAGGAACUGCAACCAAAACUAUUCUCCUUGAGUGUCGGAGAGGAAAGUGGAAUUCCUAGUGUAGCGGUGAAAUGCGUAGAUAUUAGGAGGAACACCAGUGGCGAAGGCGACUUUCUGGACGAUAACUGACGUUGAGGCACGAAAGUGUGGGGAGCGAACAGGAUUAGAUACCCUCGUAU